Molecule: transfer RNA, 86 nt
Filed under: Siphoviridae sp. ctrCN24
Lineage: Duplodnaviria; Heunggongvirae; Uroviricota; Caudoviricetes
Description: tRNA-Ser
Rfam family: tRNA
About the family: Transfer RNA (tRNA) molecules are approximately 80 nucleotides in length.
Source: RNAcentral
GAAGACUUAGCUCAAAGGGAGAGCGCCGAUAGAAAUUCAGCGACGAGGCUGACGGUAGGAUGAGAGUUCGAGUCUUUCAGUGUUCA